CCCACACCUUCUCUCCCACCGCUAACUGUGUAAGAAGCUCCACUAAAUAUUGCUCCUGCCCACUCUGACUCCCUCCUAAAUGGUAGUACAUGAUGUUGUAAUGCUCCACCUGUGCAAGCUCUUGAAGAAGCUGACAAAGUCUAUCUCCAUGAAGGCUCAACGAGGUACCAUUCAGGCCACAACUCUCUAUUUCCCUGUUCUCACUCUUUGAACAUCAUCCACUUCCCAGCAUGCAAAUGGCAAUGGCCUAUGCCACUGGGUUAGAAACAGGGAGGAACAACAGCUUUGCUGAAGCAGAUGUCAUACCAGCUGUCUUGUCCUCCUCCGCCAGCGAUCAGCCACCUUUCUGCUUGGGUUCUUUUCAGGAUCGUCACCGAGCCCCGGACAGCCUCCAACUGCAGUUCGUUUGCAGUAAUGUUCCCAGGAGGGAGGCUGGACAGCUGGUUCGUGAAGGACUUGGGCAAAAAUCUUACCGCAGCUGACCCCAAGAGAAGAAAGUAUGUUUAACCACUGAGAAGAAACAUUUUUGGAAAAGUGCCUCUCAAUUGUUUUUACAAUGUCGAACAAGGUAGAUGGAUGUAACACUACAAGAAAGAAGGUUGCACAUUUCAGCAGAACGAAUAAAGCAAACUUUUCCCACUCC
Molecule: long non-coding RNA, 643 nt
Filed under: Eptatretus burgeri (inshore hagfish)
Lineage: Eukaryota; Metazoa; Chordata; Myxini; Myxiniformes; Myxinidae
Description: lncRNA (ENSEBUG00000017356.1)
Source: RNAcentral